RNAcentral lists this unclassified non-coding RNA (342 nucleotides) under uncultured fungus. Its description in RNAcentral is "partial contains small subunit ribosomal RNA, internal transcribed spacer 1, and 5.8S ribosomal RNA". The stretch from base 1 to 73 matches the Rfam family "Eukaryotic small subunit ribosomal RNA", at positions 1759 to 1831 of the family's 1831-position model. Lineage: Eukaryota; Fungi. The record is from RNAcentral.
UCAAACUUGGUCAUUUAGAGGAAGUAAAAGUCGUAACAAGGUUUCCGUAGGUGAACCUGCGGAAGGAUCAUUAUUGAAAGGUUUUGGAGAAUUACUGUUGCUGGCCUUUGGCAUGUGCACGUAUUCUCUAAUCUAUUCAUCCACCUGUGCACUUUUUGUAGAAAAGGCCCCUUUGGAUUAGUCAAUGAUUUUGAAGGAGGGGAAUUUCUAUGUUUUUACACAAACGAGUUUAGCAUGUUUCAGAAUGUUGUUUAUUACAUUGGGACUUAGUUGGCCCUUUGAAAACUUUGUACAACUUUCAGCAACGGAUCUCUUGGCUCUCCCAUCGAUGAAGAACGCAGC